UGAGAUAUUAGAUCCUUAAGUCAUACUCCCUCCGUUCCAAAAUAAGUGUCUUAACUUUGUACUAGCUCUAGUACAAAGUUGUACUAAGCUUGAGACAGUUAUUUUGGGACGGAGGGAGUAUUGCAGUGUCUGGAGGGUGCAAAAGAUGUUGCGUCACUGGCAUUGACAUGCCUAAGCUUGAAGGGUGAAGAUAGACCAACCAUGAGACAAGUGGAGAUGGCACUGGAAAGGUUGUUAGUAGCAAAUGAAAACACUGGACAAGGGCGUUCAAGCGAGCUAAACUAUACACCAACUCAAAUAAGCAAUAACAAUGAUGAGAAUAGUAGACAGUAUAGUGCGGAGCAGGCACUCUUACUAUCAGCAACCUUUCCUCGCUGAUCCGCUUCCGAGCACUUCUGCAUGUUCACUUCAUGUUCCUUCUGUGUAAGCGAGAUUAACUUAACUAUGUGUGCUUUUGCCGGCUGUAGUAUUUAUUUGGCGUUGUUCAGUUUGUAAUAAGGAUAGUUUGGUGGCACGCCAGGUUUUAUUCCCUCAGAUUAUGUUCCCAGCGAAUGUAACUAGAGCGUUUUCCUGUUGUGCAUCCAACUCAGCAGUCCUAUUUCCAUUUUCUACUAUUACGUUGAAUACUGUCUACAGUCUUGUAAGUUAAAAUUCUGUGAUCCUCUAUUCUAUUCUUGUUUUCCUCGGUUCAUGAACCAUUACAUUUCUAAUGUCCUCAUUUUUACUGCAUGAAAGCUAGCUAGCUCAUGAUGAAUUAUCUAUUUUCACUUUCC
RNAcentral lists this long non-coding RNA (773 nucleotides) under Hordeum vulgare. RNAcentral describes it as "long non-coding RNA (HVUL_LNC006076)". Lineage: Eukaryota; Viridiplantae; Streptophyta; Magnoliopsida; Poales; Poaceae. The record is from RNAcentral.